AGUGAACGCUGGCGGUAGGCCUAACACAUGCAAGUCGAACGGCAGCACAGUAAUAGCUUGCUCUUACGGGUGGCGAGUGGCGGACGGGUGAGGAAUACAUCGGAAUCUACUUUUUCGUGGGGGAUAACGUAGGGAAACUUACGCUAAUACCGCAUACGACCUACGGGUGAAAGCAGGGGAUCUUCGGACCUUGCGCGAUUGAAUGAGCCGAUGUCGGAUUAGCUAGUUGGCGGGGUAAAGGCCCACCAAGGCGACGAUCCGUAGCUGGUCUGAGAGGAUGAUCAGUCACACUGGAACUGAGACACGGUCCAGACUCCUACGGGAGGCAGCAGUGGGGAAUAUUGGACAAUGGGCGCAAGCCUGAUCCAGCCAUACCGCGUGGGUGAAGAAGGCCUUCGGGUUGUAAAGCCCUUUUGUUGGGAAAGAAAAGCAGCAGGUUAAUACCCCGCUGUUCUGACGGUACCCAAAGAAUAAGCACCGGCUAACUUCGUG
RNAcentral lists this ribosomal RNA (492 nucleotides) under uncultured bacterium. RNAcentral's name for it is "partial 16S ribosomal RNA". It matches the Rfam family "Bacterial small subunit ribosomal RNA", at positions 29 to 507 of the family's 1533-position model. The record is from RNAcentral.